AUUGAGGUGAGAAAGUUUAAGAAAUUUUCUGAGUGUGUUGGAAUAUGCCUAUAACAGUACUUCAGGAGGCAGAGACAGGACGAUAAUAAGUUGGAGCCCAGCUCAACUUGAGCAGAGCCCUGUUUCAAAAUAAACAAUAAAAGUUUUGGGGAUAUAGCUCAGUCCAAAGGCCCUAGGUUCAAUCCUCAGUGGAAAAUAGUAAAUGAAUAAAAUGUCCAAAAUAGGAAAGGGAAAAACAAACCAAAAAUUCAGGUAGAAAAUAUGGUCCAAAAUAUUUCUCCUGAUUUUUGUGUGUUUGUUUGUUUGUUUGUUUCAAGAUAGGGUCUUGCUAUGCAUUCUAGGCCAGACUUGAACUUGCUAUGUAGCCCAGCCCAGCCUAAAACUCAUGGAGAUCCUCCUACCUCAGCCCCCUGAGAACUGGCUUUACAGGACCUUGCGCUUGCCCGGCAGGUGGCGGCACCACUGAGCUACAUCCCCACCCCAGGAUAUAUGAUCUUUAUG
RNAcentral lists this long non-coding RNA (501 nucleotides) under Heterocephalus glaber (naked mole-rat). RNAcentral's name for it is "lncRNA (ENSHGLG00000037801.1)". Lineage: Eukaryota; Metazoa; Chordata; Mammalia; Rodentia; Bathyergidae. The record is from RNAcentral.